AAGAGGUCCAGCCUGCCCAGUGACACAUGUUCAACGGCCGCGGUAUCCUAACCGUGCGAAGGUAGCGUAAUCACUUGUUCUUUAAAUGAGGACUAGUAUGAAUGGCAUCACGAGGACUAUACUGUCUCCUUUUUCUAAUCAGUGAAACUAAUCUCCCCGUGAAGAAGCGGGGGUGAAACUAUAAGACGAGAAGACCCUAUGGAGCUUUAAAUUAUAACUCAAAUGCCCCUCACUCUUUUAACUUCCUAGUAUCAUUCACUAUUCUGGCAUAAUGAGGUAAAAUUUUUGGUUGGGGUGACCGCGGAGUACAAAAUAACCUCCACAUUGAAACAGGCCUACAAGCUUCAAGAAAUGAAUUACGAUUCUAUUUAUAAAAAAUAACAUUAUUGACCCA
RNAcentral lists this ribosomal RNA (394 nucleotides) under Scinax rostratus (Caracas snouted treefrog). RNAcentral describes it as "partial 16S ribosomal RNA". It matches the Rfam family "Bacterial large subunit ribosomal RNA", at positions 1847 to 2380 of the family's 2925-position model. The record is from RNAcentral. Lineage: Eukaryota; Metazoa; Chordata; Amphibia; Anura; Hylidae.